This is a long non-coding RNA of Ictalurus punctatus (channel catfish), 2281 nucleotides long. The record is from Ensembl. NCBI's taxonomy places the organism in Eukaryota, Metazoa, Chordata, Actinopteri, Siluriformes, Ictaluridae.
CCCAGGUGUACUAAAAAAAUGUACAAUAUCAAUGGAAACAUACUUCAAAUAUAUUUUUCUCAUAUGAAUUCAUAGUUAGUUAUGCAAAUAAUAGUUUCACACCUAUAUGUUGUGUUUGAUAUCACAACACAGUUGUUUGAUAUCCACGAGAGCAGAAUAUUUCUGUGAAUUUUUUUAAAACAAAAGAUCAAAAGGUUCAACAAUAAAGACCAUUUUUCAGGAGAAUAGACAUACUUACCAAGGGUGCCAAUAUUAGUGGAGGGCACUGUAUGUUAAACAUCUUAGGGCUCUAGUUUGAGUUUAUAGAUCUAAGCUGUGUUUAGUGAGUGAUUCAGUGUGGUGCCUUUACUUUAAAGCAUUAAAAUAUACAAGGUGGUUUUUUUUCUCCAUUCAUCUGUUUUUUUUUUUUUGUUUUUUGCAAUUUUCCAAAAAAGCCAUUUUCUCAUAAUUUAGUCAUAGCCAUCUACUGUAGCUAGAUUUCUUCCAGGAGGGUAAAAGGCUAACACGAUCUAGGCUUCCUCUGAUUUCAUGGGACAAGAGUGCUAACAGACCUGCUCUUUACAUAAAGCUAGCAUUUCUCUGAUCAACAGAGGAAAGUAUACGUAGGCCAGCCUUCCUGACAGUUACGUCCUCUCGGAUUCCUGGCCAAGUGAUGGAAACAGAAUGCUUGCAUUAAACAGUGACUGUGUGCGAGUGUGUGUUCUAGUUUCUCCAUGACUGUUUUGAUUGGCUGGCACCCACUUUUUCCAUCUCAUAACGUUCAGCAGAACAUGCGGUUGAUGCUAACACACAAGCAUUCCCAUUUUACUUUUACAGAUGUGAAAGUAAAAAAGUUGGAUUAGCGUUGAAGCAAAUCUGCAACGCAUGGAACAAGAGAGACUGACAGACAUAUACUAUAUUUUAAUACUAAUAUAUUCGUUUUUAUUUACAUGCUUUACCGUAUUUGUAAACCUGUUUAAAUGUAUUCUCGUUUUGCAUACAAAUAUAAUGUCUCUAAUAGCUGUGUGCACUGUUUGAAGAUUAAAACCCUUAAAGGUUCCAAGUAGAACCCUACAACAAAUCAUGCUAUCGAAAAGGGUUCCAAGUAGAACCCUGUUUUGGAAGAACCCAUUACUAUCCAGUGAAACAUGAUAGUUUCUCUUGUUGUAAACAAUGUUUUUCUUUAAUCCAAGAACCAUUUAGCUUGUGAGUCAAACAUUUAGCUUGUGCCACUUCAAGGGUUCUACAAAGGUUCUUUAAGGGUUCAAUUGGUAAUGGCCAUUACAAAACUACUUUUAUGUAUAGUGUAUAGAAAAAAUAGCAUAUUAGAAUGUGCAUGUUGCUAUAAACCUGUGCUACUGUCACUGAGCUGCUGUUAUAGAGGAUUUAAUCAACACCUUCUGACCAAUCAGAGUCUAGAAUUCAGAAGCACUGUGGUGUCACUAUAUACACUUGACUUAACUGCAAAAAGUAUGUGCAUCCCUGACUAUCACACCUGUAUGUGCUUGCUGAACAUCCCAUUCCAGAUUUAUUCCCCCUUUUACUGUUAUAAUGCACGCUACUCUUCUGGGAAGGCUUUCCACUAGAUUUUGGGGUGCAGCUAUGUGGAUUUGUUUUCAUUCAACUACAAGAGCAUUAGUGAGGUUGAGGUCAGGCACUGAUGUUUGGUGAGGAGACUCCAGUUCCUGUUCAUCCCAAAGGUGUUCAGUGGGGUUGAGGUCAGGGCUCUGUACAGGACACUAGAGUUCUUCCACCUUCUUCCAACCUUCACACACCACGUCUACGCGGAGCUCCCUUUGUACGCAGGGGUGUCGUCAUGCUGGAACAUGUUCGGGCCUUUUAGUUCCAGUGAAGGGAAAUUAUAACGCUACAGCAUACAGUGACGUUCUAUACAACUGUGUGCUUCUGACUUUGUGGCAACAGUUUGGGGAAGAACCACAUAUGGGUGUGAUGGUCAGGGGUGCACAUAGUUUUGGCCAUAUAGUGUAACUUGUUGGUUCUGGUGAUAUUUAAUAAUAACUAGACCAUUCUUCAUGAAUUUUAUGGAAACUGUUUAUGGAUUACACUGGGUUUUUUUCCAGCAGUGUCUAUCUGUCCUAGGUAAACUAACCCUAAAUUAUACUCUAGGUUUACUAUAAUCUAUAAUAUAAGGACAAAUGAAUGUGUCAUUAGUGAAACAUUCAAUAAAAGACCAUUUUUUGCUGUUUAUCUUUAUUUUUAUUCAUAUAAUAUGCUGUUUUGAUAUUUUGUGUGUGUCAAGUUUCUCACUUAGUACAAAAAUAAACGCUGCGUGUAAGGGGUG